This is an RNA transcript of Danio aesculapii, 1002 nucleotides long. It is a transcript of the gene named transmembrane protein 123, with no coding region annotated. The transcript is spliced from 5 exons. The record is from RefSeq and is a predicted model, not a curated record. NCBI's taxonomy places the organism in Eukaryota, Metazoa, Chordata, Actinopteri, Cypriniformes, Danionidae.
UAUUUAAGAAUGUUUUUCUAUCGCGUUGGAAUGCCUGAAAGCCGUUGAUGAUGACUCAAGACUAAGAUUAUUAUUUUUCUCAUGAAUUUUGUUUUGGUCAGGACUGUGGAACUUUAGUUUAUUCGUUAUGAAAAUGAACCUCUGCGUAUGGUUGAACCUUAUUACUUUUUCCGGUCUGCUUUUUUCGUUAGGUAAGAUCUGAACCAUUUGAGGACGUGCCAGAUAGCCCAACCAAGUUUUCCAACCUAUCCAGAAGUAUGCUGUGAUCGACAGUGUCAAAUGCAGCACUGAGAUCAAGCAAUACCAGCACUGUUCAAAACACAAGAGCUCAUCAAGCUGAAGAAGAGACACCGACUGCUUCAAACAUGUCCAACCAUUCAACAUUCCUCCCCAAAGCUCAAUCCAUCACCCCAACUGAAUCAUCUGUGAAUACGCUGCACAUCUCAACACCCAGCAAACACCUGACCUCUGCAUCUACAGGCGUUCCUCCAGGUCACCAGGCAGCAGGUGGUGGAUUUGAUGCGGGUAGUUUUAUUGGUGGUAUGAUGCUGGCCUUUAUCAUCAUACUGGCCAUCACUGUAGGGUACAGGCUGUUCUGCUCAAAACGGGAGAUUCGCUACAGAGUCAUUGAGGAACAUGACGCCAUCAUUUAAAAAUGGUGCCAUCCAAGAAGCCUUCAUGAUCUGAGGAGAGGGUUUUCAUCAUAAUGUUGUUCAUAUGCAUAUGAAGGGUGUGUUCACACUGGUUUGGCUUGAUUCAUUUGAACUGACUGAUGGUCUGAUUGCUUUGUUAGCAUUAUUCAUUUGAAUAAGUGUGAACUUAUUCAACAGUGUCAAACUGUGCACACUAUUGAGGAUGUAGGUUUCGGUCCACUUCCAAAUAAACUGUAAUGAUGUUCAACAGACAAUAUGAACACAACAUGGACCAAAGACAUCUCAGUGAAACAAAAAACAGGAAAUGAUGUCAUAAGAUGUGACCAUAAAAGGACAGAAUGCUCAGAAA